This 18-nucleotide small nuclear RNA is filed under the name Arabidopsis thaliana (thale cress). RNAcentral's name for it is "snRNA_00480". Lineage: Eukaryota; Viridiplantae; Streptophyta; Magnoliopsida; Brassicales; Brassicaceae. The record is from RNAcentral.
CAACAAAAAGUUAAAGAA